GGCGGUUGCCAUGGUGAGGCCCGCUCAGUAGCGACCGCGAGCUGGCGCCAGGGGCCGCAGGGUCGGAGCGUGGCUUUGAAGCCGCUUACGCUGCCACCAUGAGCGGCCGAAGUAAAGGUAGAAAGUCCUCCCGCGCCAAAAACCGGGGCAAAGGCCGAGGCAAAGCCCGAGUUCGCGCUGCUCCCGACGACGCCCCCCGCGACCCGGACCCAACACAGUGCCAGAGGCUCGGGGAGGAAACCCAGGCAGCACAGGAACCCUCCUGCCUGCCAGACUGAUGGGCGGGUAUGUGGACAUGUGCUCACUGUCAUCAUGCUGUGGCUCCAGGUGUGGCCUUGCAUAUGUGGAAGAUUGAUGCUAUAUGCUGCUUAUUUUGCCAUAAACAUGCACAGAAGUGGAGAGGAUGGUCCCUGGACCCUGGGUACCCAUCACCUAGCUACACCAAUUAUGAUCAACCUGGUGCCUUCCUCUCCCCACCUGUAUUGUUGAUGGAAAGUCCGACACUGUACCAAUUCAACCUUGACUACUUUGGGAGAUCAGGACUCUUGUGGUGGUGGUGGUGGUGGGGCACACUGUCAUGAUCACAUCAGGUCUGCUCUUUGUUUUGAGUGUUAAAUGAUGAUGUUCUAGAAAUGGCCUUUAGAAGUGAAAGUCUUCACGAUUAACAGGGAGUACUCAAAAAGAGAUGAAAAUAUGCUCCCUCUUCCCUGCAUCUGCAAAAGGAGAGAGACUUGUGUUGUAAAUCUUUCAAAGACUGAUAUGAUAAGGUGCUUACUUGAGACCCUUCACCAGAAUAUCAGUCUUUUUUGCCUGUAAAAGAUGGAGACUUGUGUGACUGUUAGAAGUACCAUCAGCGUGUCCUGGUCUCAUAAUAUAACUCUGGUCUUGAAAGUGAAUUUUGGAAAUUGUUGCUGUGUUCUGUAAAAAUAACCUCCCCAACGUUAUCAGUAACUGGUUGUCUUACUUGCUAAUUUGACACCCCGGUAAUAAUGCAAUUAUUCCUUUGUUCCUAAACAGUAUAAAUAGUUGUAAGUUUGCAUGCGUGGUGGAAAAAUAAAAGUCUUAUCUCUGUUAUAUAUUUUUUAUUUUUAAA
RNAcentral lists this long non-coding RNA (1093 nucleotides) under Suricata suricatta (meerkat). Its description in RNAcentral is "lncRNA (ENSSSUG00005021183.1)". The record is from RNAcentral. Lineage: Eukaryota; Metazoa; Chordata; Mammalia; Carnivora; Herpestidae.